Molecule: ribosomal RNA, 268 nt
Filed under: uncultured Bacillus sp.
Lineage: Bacteria; Bacillati; Bacillota; Bacilli; Caryophanales; Bacillaceae
Description: partial 16S ribosomal RNA
Rfam family: Bacterial small subunit ribosomal RNA
Source: RNAcentral
UUGCUAACGCGUGAAGGCGAGCACUCUAGACGAACUGCCGUUGCAAAACGGAGGAAGGUGGGGAGUGACGUCAAAUCAUCAUGCCCCUUAUGUUCUGGGCUACACACGUGCUACAAUGGCCGGUACAGACGGACGCAAAGCCGCGAGGUGGAGCAAAUCCUAAAAAGCCGGUCUCAGUUCGGAUUGCAGGCUGCAAUUCGCCUGCAUGAAGUCGGAAUCGCUAGUAAUCGCAGGUCAGCAUACUGCGGUGAAUACGUUCCCGGGCCUU